Molecule: ribosomal RNA, 439 nt
Filed under: uncultured bacterium
Lineage: Bacteria
Description: bacterial SSU rRNA
Rfam family: Bacterial small subunit ribosomal RNA
Source: RNAcentral
AACGCGAAGAACCUUACCUGGGCUCGAAAUGUUAUGGACCGGAGUUGAAAGAUUCCUUCCCAGCAAUGGGCCGUAAUAUAGGUGCUGCAUGGCUGUCGUCAGCUCGUGUCGUGAGAUGUUGGGUUAAGUCCCGCAACGAGCGCAACCCUUAUCUUCAGUUGCUACCAUUUAGUUGAGCACUCUGACGAAACCGCCUCGGAUAACGGGGAGGAAGGUGGGGAUGACGUCAAGUCCUCAUGGCCUUUAUGUCCAGGGCUACACACGUGCUACAAUGGCCGGUACAAACCGUUGCAAACCCGCGAGGGGGAGCUAAUCGGAAAAAGCCGGCCUCAGUUCGGAUUGGAGUCUGCAACUCGACUCCAUGAAGCUGGAAUCGCUAGUAAUCGCGGAUCAGAAUGCCGCGGUGAAUACGUUCCCGGGCCUUGUACACACCGCAUAC